GGACACAGAUCCUCUCAUCGCUGGAUGAUUGUGCUUAACACUUUUCCUCCCUGGACCUGUGACCUCCCCGCUGUGUGGUUGUGUGUGAGUUGGAGUAAGAGGAGGGGACGAGUGCGCAAGCGUUUUCCCCUGGAUCUUCCCUGGGACCCUUCUCCUACCCGGAUUUCCCCCACUGUACAUAUUCUGCACUUGGUGUUGUAAAUAAACUCUGUGUUGGAACUGA
Molecule: long non-coding RNA, 223 nt
Organism: Oreochromis aureus
Lineage: Eukaryota; Metazoa; Chordata; Actinopteri; Cichliformes; Cichlidae
Exons: 2
Source: RefSeq, a predicted model, not a curated record